AAUGAACGUUGGCGGCAUGGAUUAGGCAUGCAAGUCGAGCGGUAAGGCCCCGCAAGGGGUACACGAGCGGCGUAAGGGACAGUAAUGUGUAGGUACGUACCUCCGGGCCUGGGAUAGCUGCGGGAAACUGCAAUUAAUACCAGAUGAUGUCUCCGGACCAAAGGUGUGAUUCCGCCGGGAGAGCGGCCUACAUCCUAUUAGCUAGUUGGCGGGGUAAUGGCCCACCAAGGCUCAGAUGGGUAGCAGGUGUGAGAGCACGACCUGCGUCACUGGGACUGAGACACUGCCCAGACACCUACGGGUGGCUGCAGUCGAGAAUCUUCGGCAAUGAGCGCAAGCUUGACCGAGCAAUGCCGCGUGCGGGAAGAAGGCCUUCGGGUUGUAACCGACUGUCAGAGGAACGAAAUGCCAGUGGGUACGUCUCAUUGGCUUGACUGAUCCUCAAAGGAAGGGUAGGGCUAAGUUCGUGCCAGCAGCCGCGGUAA
RNAcentral lists this ribosomal RNA (485 nucleotides) under uncultured bacterium. RNAcentral's name for it is "bacterial SSU rRNA". It matches the Rfam family "Bacterial small subunit ribosomal RNA", at positions 29 to 523 of the family's 1533-position model. The record is from RNAcentral.